Molecule: ribosomal RNA, 507 nt
Filed under: uncultured bacterium
Lineage: Bacteria
Description: bacterial SSU rRNA
Rfam family: Bacterial small subunit ribosomal RNA
Source: RNAcentral
UCUGGCGUCAGGAUGAACGCUAGCUACAGGCUUAACACAUGCAAGUCGAGGGGCAGCAUUGGAGUAGCAAUACUCAGAUGGCGACCGGCGCACGGGUGAGUAACACGUAUCCAACCUGCCGCUUACUCGGGGAUAGCCUUUCGAAAGAAAGAUUAAUACCCGAUGGUAUAAAGAGUUCGCAUGUUCUCUUUAUUAAAGAAUUUCGGUAAGCGAUGGGGAUGCGUUCCAUUAGAUUGUUGGCGGGUAACGGCCCACCAAGUCUACGAUGGAUAGGGGUUCUGAGAGGAAGGUCCCCCACAUUGGAACUGAGACACGGUCCAAACUCCUACGGGAGGCAGCAGUGAGGAAUAUUGGUCAAUGGACGAGAGUCUGAACCAGCCAAGUAGCGUGAAGGAUGACUGCCCUAUGGGUUGUAAACUUCUUUUAUAAGGGAAUAAAGUGAGGGACGUGUCCCUUUUUGUAUGUACCUUAUGAAUAAGGAUCGGCUAACUCCGUGCCAGCAGCUGC